CCCAGGACCUCGCUCGUGCUUCACUAACGCUCUGCCCCUGAACUACACCGCCAGCCCUUUUUAUUUUUUAUUUUGAGACAUAGUCUCGCUAAGUUGCUGAGCCUGGCUUUGAACUUGCCGUCCUCCCACCUCGGUGUCUCAGUCAGCGAUUUGGCUGCUGUGACCGAAAGACCUGACAAGAACAAUUUUAGGAGGAAAAGGUUAUCUGGGGCUCAUAGCUUCAGAGGUCUCAAUCCAUAGAGAGCCAGCUCCAUUCAUUCCUGGGAGCUCAAAGUGAGGCAGAACCUCAUGGCAGAAGAGUGUGGCGGAGAGAAGCCACUGGAGACAUCACACCAGGACGCAGAGAGAAACAGACAGAGACAGAGGGGGAGAUCCCUUCAUGGACAAAAUAUAAACCCGAAGGGCAGGCUCCGGUCACCCCACCUCCUGCAGCCACACCCUAUCCAGUUGUCACUGGUUUCCCCAUCAGGGGAUUAGUGCACUGAUUGGGUGUAGCUCCUCAUAACCCAAUCAUUUCUCCUCUGAGCUUCUUGCAUUGUCUCACUCAUGAGCUUUUGGAGGACACCUUAUAUCUAAACCAUAACACUCAGCCUCCCAGGUCACUGGGAUUACAGGCGUGCACCACUGCACCAGCUGACCUGUUCUUUUCUCAGAGAGAGAUGACAUCUCAGAGAUGUUAUCCUUGACUGUCAUGAUUUGCUGAGUCAGAGCAGCUGAAUUUGAUGCAGGUGUGAUUCUAUUUUCUUCAACAAUCAGCUCAUCCUUUUGGACUUCCUCUCAUGUGCCCUGUAGGUGUAUUUUCUUCUAUGAGAUUUCAACAAUUUACCCACUUUCCUGAAUACUCACUUUGAGGGGAAGUGAAAGCACACAGACCUGGCUGCCUGCAGCCACAGAAGCUGCACCACCUCUCAGACCACAGGGUGAGAUCCACUGAACUGCAGACAAAUGCUUUUCACUUCCUCACUGUCCGUCAGCACAGAGCUUCUGCUUUUUCUUUCCAACACAGAUGGAGCUGAACUCCUCUGGUGGGCUCCCCAGGGCUUCUCUGUGACUGCAUCACUUUAUGGUGACACCCACCUCCACAGGUGACACAGCACCUCCACAGAUGUCUGGGUGCCGAGAACCAGCUCCAUUGUCUAAGUAGCUUCAUCGAGUGAAACUCAAAUUACUAAUUUUUUAUUGUUGUUUUGGUGCCAAGGAUUGAACCUGAGGCCUUGCAGAUGCUAGGCAAGUGCUGUACAAGUAAGCCACAUCCCCAGCUCAAAUUACAUUUUUAAUUUAUCUUGUAUCCUUUUGAUUUGGUAAGC
RNAcentral lists this long non-coding RNA (1307 nucleotides) under Marmota monax (woodchuck). Lineage: Eukaryota; Metazoa; Chordata; Mammalia; Rodentia; Sciuridae. The record is from RNAcentral.